AAUAUUACAUGCUAUGGUUUC
Molecule: non-coding RNA, 21 nt
Filed under: Arabidopsis thaliana (thale cress)
Lineage: Eukaryota; Viridiplantae; Streptophyta; Magnoliopsida; Brassicales; Brassicaceae
Source: RNAcentral